RNAcentral lists this ribosomal RNA (451 nucleotides) under uncultured bacterium. Its description in RNAcentral is "bacterial SSU rRNA". It matches the Rfam family "Bacterial small subunit ribosomal RNA", at positions 28 to 476 of the family's 1533-position model. The record is from RNAcentral.
GAUGAACGCUGGCGGCGUGCCUAAUACAUGCAAGUCGAACGCUUCACUUCGGUGAAGAGUGGCGAACGGGUGAGUAAUACAUAAGUAACCUGGCAUCUACAGGGGGAUAACUGAUGGAAACGUCAGCUAAGACCGCAUAGGUGUAGAGAUCGCAUGAACUCUAUAUGAAAAGUGCUACGGGACUGGUAGAUGAUGGACUUAUGGCGCAUUAGCUUGUUGGUAGGGUAACGGCCUACCAAGGCGACGAUGCGUAGCCGACCUGAGAGGGUGACCGGCCACACUGGGACUGAGACACGGCCCAGACUCCUACGGGAGGCAGCAGUAGGGAAUUUUCGGCAAUGGGGGAAACCCUGACCGAGCAACGCCGCGUGAAGGAAGAAGUAAUUCGUUAUGUAAACUUCUGUCAUAGAGGAAGAACGGUGGAUAUAGGGAAUGAUAUCCAAGUGACGGU